Leptonychotes weddellii (Weddell seal) is the source of this 1086-nucleotide non-coding RNA. The record is from RefSeq and is a predicted model, not a curated record. NCBI's taxonomy places the organism in Eukaryota, Metazoa, Chordata, Mammalia, Carnivora, Phocidae.
UUAAAAAGUUAGGUGACAGCAGCAAAAACUCAGACAGUCAAUCUGUCAGCUCUAACACUGAUGCAGAUACCACUCAGGAAAAAAACAAUGCAAGGUCGUCCUGUGUUUGAGAGAAACAUUUUCAAGGUAUUAGUUUGACUGUCGUGAUGGCGGUAGGUCCUACAGGAAGACGAAGGACUGGGUAGAGGCGUAGAGGCACGUACGUGUCCCUGCGCCGAGCCAGUCCGUUAGCACGCGUGAUGCCAGCCUGGGCAGUUCAUAGCUCUGGCCUCAAGGCUUCCACCUUUUUACCGCUUGCUUGCCCUUUUCAAACUGAACUGAGCCCGUUCACCAAACCACCAGUUACCAGACUCAGAGUUGUGAUAGAGGAGCAUUUCGAAGGUCGCUCAUACUGUGACGUGGUGCAUUAGCCACCACUGAAAGCAGCAAGAGAGGUGAAAAGAAGAAGCCAGCAUUAAGAUACCAGUUGUGCGUGGGGGCAAGACCGUAUGGAAACUGGAAACAGAGAGAAUGGAGCAUAAAGAGGAAAGAAAGCGAAGCAAGCCUAGCCGGGCAAAAGGAAACGCGUCAUGUUUGUGGAGCUUUGAAGUCCUGGGACCAUGCUCAUGGCUGCCGGUUUCUUCUGGGUAACACCAGUUUCCUCUCAUUGCCACUAAAGCUGUAGGCUCUUUAGUCUGACUUGUUUCUGACAGGAAUAAAGUUUCAAAGUUUUGACUCGGUGAUCCCUAGGGACGCCCGUUUCAGCACGCCAGGUGGCCGUAGGUACUUGGCUGAGCCUUCUGAAGUUGGGUUGUUUGAGGCUCCUCUCCCUACCUUCAGACGUUUGCAGCCCAGCACGGUGCACCCCUCCCCUGCAGAAAACCCUGGAGAGAAGGGAAGGCCUCUCCCAUGAUGGUGACUGUCACUGCCGUGAAUUCCUGCAUCCACCUGCUGCUGGACGGUCAGAGGCCAGGUGCAGCCCCGUAGUAGAAGAGCAGUGCUGUGUUCCUUGUCCAGUCUCUCAUGUCCCAAGUGAGCAGAAAGAGCGCAGUUAGCCCGUCAUUCACUGUUGACUGUUGGUUCUAAUAAUAAAUGGAACAUAAUCAA